GGGGGUAGCUCAGUGGUAGAGCGUCAGUUUUCCAAACUGAAUGUCGCGGGUUCGAUCCCCGUCCCCC
This 67-nucleotide transfer RNA is filed under the name marine eukaryotic metagenome. It matches the Rfam family "tRNA". Rfam says of the family: Transfer RNA (tRNA) molecules are approximately 80 nucleotides in length. Their secondary structure includes four short double-helical elements and three loops (D, anti-codon, and T loops). The record is from RNAcentral.